CCUACGGGGAGCAGCAGUGGGGGAUAUUGCACAAUGGGGGGAACCCUGAUGCAGCGACGCCGCGUGGGUGAAGGAGCGUUUCGGCGCGUAAAGCCCUAUCGGCAGGGAAGAAGGAGGACGGUACCUGACUAAGAAGCCCCGGCUAACUACGUGCCAGCCGACGCGGUAGUAAGUAGGGGGCAUGCGUUAUCCGGAUUUACUGGGUUGAAAGGGGGGGCUGACGGCAGCGCAAGCCAGUAGUGAAAGCCCGGGGCCCAACCCUGGUACUGGUUUUGGAACUGCGCGGCUGGAGUGCAGGAGGGGCAGGCGGAAGUCCUGGUGUAGCGGUGAAAUGCGUAGAUAUCAGGAGGAACACCGGUGGCGAAGGCGGCCUGCUGGACUGCGACUGACGUUGAGGCUCGAAAGCGUGGGGAGCAAACAGGAUUAGAUACCCGAGUAGUC
Molecule: ribosomal RNA, 441 nt
Filed under: uncultured bacterium
Lineage: Bacteria
Description: partial 16S ribosomal RNA
Rfam family: Bacterial small subunit ribosomal RNA
Source: RNAcentral